This 1464-nucleotide ribosomal RNA is filed under the name Salmonella enterica. Its description in RNAcentral is "partial 23S ribosomal RNA". It matches the Rfam family "Bacterial large subunit ribosomal RNA", at positions 566 to 1935 of the family's 2925-position model. Lineage: Bacteria; Pseudomonadati; Pseudomonadota; Gammaproteobacteria; Enterobacterales; Enterobacteriaceae. The record is from RNAcentral.
ACAAGCAGAGGGGGCUUAGUGGUGGGGUGACUGCGUACCUUUUGUAUAAUGGGUCAGCGACUUAUAUUCUGUAGCAAGGUUAACCGUAUAGGGGAGCCGGAGGGAAACCGAGUCUUAAUUGGGCGUUAAGUUGCAGGGUAUAGACCCGAAACCCGGUGAUCUAGCCAUGGGCAGGUUGAAGGUUGGGUAACACUAACUGGAGGACCGAACCGACUAAUGUUGAAAAAUUAGCGGAUGACCUGUGGCUGGGGGUGAAAGGCCAAUCAAACCGGGAGAUAGCUGGUUCUCCCCGAAAGCUAUUUAGGUAGCGCCUCGUGAAUUCAUCUCCGGGGGUAGAGCACUGUUUCGGCUAGGGGGCCAUCCCGGCUUACCAACCCGAUGCAAACUGCGAAUACCGGAGAAUGUUAUCACGGGAGACACACGGCGGGUGCUAACGUCCGUCGUGAAGAGGGAAACAACCCAGACCGCCAGCUAAGGUCCCAAAGUCAUGGUUAAGUGGGAAACGAUGUGGGAAGGCCCAGACAGCCAGGAUGUUGGCUUAGAAGCAGCCAUCAUUUAAAGAAAGCGUAAUAGCUCACUGGUCGAGUCGGCCUGCGCGGAAGAUGUAACGGGGCUAAACCAUGCACCGAAGCUGCGGCAGCGAACGUAUCACUUAAAGCGAUUCAGCGGGUUACGAUUGACGGAGCGAAGCGACGUCAAAGCGUAUACAAAGUCGAGUCGGUUUAAGGAUACGUUCGUUGGGUAGGGGAGCGUUCUGUAAGCCUGCGAAGGUGGCCUGUGAGGGUUGCUGGAGGUAUCAGAAGUGCGAAUGCUGACAUAAGUAACGAUAAAGCGGGUGAAAAGCCCGCUCGCCGGAAGACCAAGGGUUCCUGUCCAACGUUAAUCGGGGCAGGGUGAGUCGACCCCUAAGGCGAGGCCGAAAGGCGUAGUCGAUGGGAAACGGGUUAAUAUUCCCGUACUUGGUGUUACUGCGAAGGGGGGACGGAGAAGGCUAUGUUGGCCGGGCGACGGUUGUCCCGGUUUAAGCGUGUAGGCUGGUUUUCCAGGCAAAUCCGGAAAAUCAAGGCUGAGGCGUGACGACGAGGCACUACGGUGCUGAAGCAACAAAUGCCCUGCUUCCAGGAAAAGCCUCUAAGCAUCAGGUAACACGAAAUCGUACCCCAAACCGACACAGGUGGUCAGGUAGAGAAUACCAAGGCGCUUGAGAGAACUCGGGUGAAGGAACUAGGCAAAAUGGUGCCGUAACUUCGGGAGAAGGCACGCUGACACGUAGGUGAAGUGAUUUACUCAUGGAGCUGAAGUCAGUCGAAGAUACCAGCUGGCUGCAACUGUUUAUUAAAAACACAGCACUGUGCAAACACGAAAGUGGACGUAUACGGUGUGACGCCUGCCCGGUGCCGGAAGGUUAAUUGAUGGGGUCAGCGCAAGCGAAGCUCCUGAUCGAAGCCCCGGUAAACGGCGGCC